Molecule: long non-coding RNA, 672 nt
Organism: Anolis sagrei ordinatus
Lineage: Eukaryota; Metazoa; Chordata; Lepidosauria; Squamata; Anolidae
Source: RefSeq, a predicted model, not a curated record
GGUACCUUGGAUGCCGGUUUGGUGAGACAUGACGCUGAAGGGCCGCCGACUCUGGGACUCGCAACUUCGGGGGGAGGAGGGACAAGGUCUGCCACAGUACUUCCAGAGUAACAAACAGCACUGAAGAUCUCCAUAAAACACUAAAGAACUAUGGAAAGCAAUGCAGAGCAUUAUAGAUUUCUACAGAAGACUGAAGUGUUCCAGAAACGUACAGCCAACCGGAAAAAGUGAGGAAACUUACCAAAACAGAAUACUACUCAUCUGAGGCUGAGAGAUUGUGACUGAACGGGAAUUCAAAGCUGGUUCUCAGAGUUUUAUUUAGCCUAAUAUUCAGACCAUUACACCAUUAUGCUAUGAAAACUUGGCUCUUCAGGCAGACCUUUGGAAAUGGGUAAGACAUCUGCCAAUCAAAGGACUAAACAAUCUAAUAUUUUCACUGGUUGAAUUGGCUGCGACUGGGAUGCUGUAUUAUUCAUUUUUAUGGCAAUUUGUACUGUUUCUUUUUAAAUUGGAUUUUUUUUGUAAUAGGUUGUUUUUACUGAUGUCAUUGUUUAAUAUGCGUUGUAAUUUUAUCUUUAUUUUUAUGCAUUAUGGCAUUUGUAUGUGCUUCUGUAAUCUCCCCUGAGUACUUCUGGGAGAUUGUGGUGGGGUAUUAUAAAGUUUUUGUUGUUA